RNAcentral lists this ribosomal RNA (402 nucleotides) under uncultured bacterium. RNAcentral describes it as "bacterial SSU rRNA". It matches the Rfam family "Bacterial small subunit ribosomal RNA", at positions 355 to 774 of the family's 1533-position model. The record is from RNAcentral.
UGGGGAAUAUUGCACAAUGGGCGAAGGCCUGAUGCAGCAACGCCGCGUGAGUGAUGAAGGCCUUCGGGUUGUAAAGCUCUGUCUUCUGGGACGAUAAUGACGGUACCAGAGGAGGAAGCCACGGCUAACUACGUGCCAGCAGCCGCGGUAAUACGUAGGUGGCAAGCGUUGUCCGGAUUUACUGGGCGUAAAGGAUGCGUAGGCGGAUACUUAAGUCAGAUGUGAAAAUCCCGGGCUUAACUUGGGAACUGCAUUUGAAACUGGGUAUCUAGAGUGCGGGAGAGGAUAGUGCAAUUCCUAGUGUAGCGGUGAAAUGCGUAGAGAUUAGGAAGAACACCAGUGGCGAAGGCGACUUUCUGGACCGUAACUGACGCUGAGGCAUGAAAGCGUGGGGAGCAAACA